GGAAUUUUCCGCAAUGGGCGCAAGCCUGACGGAGCAAUACCGCGUGAGGGAUGACGGCCUGUGGGUUGUAAACCUCUUUUCUCAGGAAAGAAGCUCUGACGGUACCUGAGGAAUAAGCAUCGGCUAACUCCGUGCCAGCAGCCGCGGUAAGACGGAGGAUGCAAGUGUUAUCCGGAAUCACUGGGCGUAAAGCGUCUGUAGGUGGUUUAAUAAGUCAACUGUUAAAUCUUGAAGCUCAACUUCAAAAUCGCAGUCGAAACUAUUAGACUAGAGUAUAGUAGGGGUAAAGGGAAUUUCCAGUGGAGCGGUGAAAUGCGUAGAGAUUGGAAAGAACACCGAUGGCGAAGGCACUUUACUGGGCUAUUACUAACACUCAGAGACGAAAGCUAGGGUAGCAAAUGGGAUUAGAUACCCCUGUAGUC
This 422-nucleotide ribosomal RNA is filed under the name uncultured eukaryotic phytoplankton. RNAcentral's name for it is "bacterial SSU rRNA". It matches the Rfam family "Bacterial small subunit ribosomal RNA", at positions 358 to 795 of the family's 1533-position model. The record is from RNAcentral.